UAUGUUAUAUGCGGCGUUAUACCGCUUUUCUUUCUCAUUAUUGUUAUUGCGACAGUUUCGAGCUAGUGGGCUAUGCUACCUUAUAAGCCGUACUGCGCAGCAGGUUGUAAACAAGUGGUGUAUAGUAUAAUAACGCUUUCUAUUAUCCGUGCGAAAGCUGUGAAUAACCGAAUGGUCAUGAUGAUGUUUAUUAAAACGAGAGUUUUUUUAUGGCUUUAUACACAUUUAUGUUUGUAUACUAAAAUAUUGUUUUCGUUCUCUUCAGUUUGAUUAUUUCGUAGAUAAUAUAUUUGUCUUUUAUUACGUAACGAUAACUGCAGUCGCUAACUGGAAAACGACGUCGCGGGUUAUUUAUUUAUAAUAUACUAUAAGAUACGCGCGGCAACACUAAUUGUAGGUAGUUAUACUUUAUCGAAAUCGUACACUCAAGUUUCACGAGUCACUAAGUAUUAUGAGUGGAAUUUGUAUUGCGUACAUUAAUCGUCUUUUCGCUGCUGUAUAUAACGAGGGCUACUGCAGCUGUCAUAAAUUUGUCAAACAUCGCAUUGAAGGCCGGCAAAUAAACAGUCGGCGCGAACAAACACAAGUCCAGCAAGUUCGCGUGUGCAAUAAUGCUCGCCCUUCUUGCCAACGGCCACGAGAGCGUGUGUUGUGCGAUAAAAUUCACGACGCGAUUAUUCACAAACACGAUGUGUAGUCCAAGUACUAGGAUGUGGCUCUGGAAGCUUUAGGUAGAUUCGUUUAGUCGUAAAUAUCGAUCUGUCGCUCUGUUGUGAUCUUCUACAUUACAAUGUCUGAGCUCGGAUAUCUAAUUUGCAAAGCGUGUACCCAUAUGCUAAACUUUUGAUUGUAAACGAAAACUGAGCAGACCAUAUAAUUAAAUAAUCCAAUAAAUCAUCUUUUCUAAAAACGACUUUGGAGAGGAAGUUCGUUUUAUUAAUUCCGCGCGCAACUCUGUAUAACCGCUACUUUAUAAGUAUGUGUAAGCUCUCGAAAAAGCAGCCUUGCUAAUUUUAGCCGAAAUCGCUCUCGCGUGCGAGCCUUAUUACUCCGCACGCAAUGACACUUCUUGCGGUCGGGCUAUACUACUGCGCCUAUAUCGUGAAUUUAUUAGACUUGUUAAUUUCGUCUAGACGAAUUGAAUCAAUCUCAAUAAUUGCAAAUUGUAUCCGAAUUAGAGCACGUGAUUAUAUUUUUAGCAGGAAUCAUCAAAAGCUUUUAAUUACGCGGCUCGGUUGUAUUGGCAGUUGGUGCUAAUGCUAAUUAGGUAUAUUUAUAUAUAAACUUAACACUGUAAACCGGUUAAUAUAUAUUUUUCCCUACAUUUUCACUAGAACUAAUAGCGAAUGGUUCGCAAACACGUCGGCUGCAUUUUCAUUAUCACAUGCGCACGCGGCUCAUGCGUCACACACCCGCAUAUAUAAGCCAAGUAUACGCGAGAGAUUGUUAAAAAAAAAACAAUAGAUCGCACUUUGGCCGGUAUCCUAAGCGCUUAUUGACAGGUUUAAAGAUAGUCGACGUAGCUGGCAUCGCUCUAGUUAUUCUCCUAAAAAUCCGUAUAAUUAGCCCUAUACAGUCGUAUUCUCUAUACUGCCAAACCAAAAUGACGUAUAGGUACACAUUGAUUAUACAAUCGGCGAUCGAAACGUGUUCUACUGUCACCGGGACACGUCGUCGUCGUCGUCGAUGCAGUCGCUUAUACCUAUAUAUACUUUGUCGCGCGGAUGCGCUGAUUAAUCACGUUCGGCCGCUAACCGACUGACGCUAAGUGGCUCGUGAUUGAGUGAUCCGCGAGAUGACUGGGAUAGGUAUCAUUCCAGUUACGCUGUGGAGAUGUCUGCGUAAGAGUAGAUUGACACUUGAUAGAAUUUUAAUGAAAUUAUAGAAGAGAAUUUUUUUUAAAUUAGCUUUGUUAUAAUACUCAAAACAUUGACACGAUGAUUUUGGCAUGACGAGUGUAGCUGUACCGUAAUCUCGGUUUAUGCUUGCAAGCUUAUGUUGUAAAUCGACGCUGCGAAGUUUCAGCUUAAUUUUUUCAUAAUAAGAUGCAGCUUUUAGUUUCUUAGAAUGAUAAAAAUCACCGAUUACAAAAGUGUCAUCACAAUAAUACGUCGAUUGAUCCAAAGAGCAUAUUCGUAUGCAUAUAGUUCUAAAAA
Molecule: long non-coding RNA, 2156 nt
Filed under: Nasonia vitripennis (jewel wasp)
Lineage: Eukaryota; Metazoa; Arthropoda; Insecta; Hymenoptera; Pteromalidae
Description: uncharacterized LOC116416090
Source: RNAcentral